AGAAAUCCUUUGAGCAAAAGUAAGUAGCUUGGCAAACGGUUUUACAGAGAGCUGCCGGUUGGUGGAAGACAGCAGAUACGAGUCAUGCGAAUGGGUUUGUGAGGAGCGCAGAGAACGCAUAUUGUCAGUAACUGUCGACGUGAUCCCACGUUACGGGAACGGAGUAUAAAAGUUUAGGCGGAGUACUCUUAGAGGAGAGUCUGUAAUUUCAGAAGGACUCUUAAAUUUGGGUGGCACCACGGUCUAUCGUCCCUUGU
This 257-nucleotide non-coding RNA is filed under the name Anaerostipes sp. Its description in RNAcentral is "T-box sequence". It matches the Rfam family "T-box leader". From Rfam's summary of the family: Uncharged tRNA acts as the effector for transcription antitermination of genes in the T-box leader family. T-boxes are found upstream of many aminoacyl-tRNA synthetase genes and some amino acid biosynthetic genes usually in Gram-positive bacteria. The anticodon of a specific tRNA base pairs to a specifier sequence within the T-box motif, and the NCCA acceptor tail of the tRNA base pairs to a conserved bulge in the T-box antiterminator hairpin. The record is from RNAcentral. Lineage: Bacteria; Bacillati; Bacillota; Clostridia; Lachnospirales; Lachnospiraceae.